UACGGGGGGGGCAAGCGUUGUUCGGAAUUACUGGGCGUAAAGGGCUCGUAGGCGGCCAACUAAGUCGGACGUGAAAUCCCCAGGCUCAACCUGGGGACUGCGUCCGAUACUGGAUGGCUUGAAUCCGGGAGAGGGAUGCAGAAUUCCAGGUGUAGCGGUGAAAUGCGUAGAUAUCUGGAGGAACACCGGUGGCGAAGGCGGCAUCCUGGACCGGCAUUGACGCUGAGGCGCGAAAGCCAGGGGAGCAAACGGG
Molecule: ribosomal RNA, 253 nt
Filed under: uncultured bacterium
Lineage: Bacteria
Description: partial 16S ribosomal RNA
Rfam family: Bacterial small subunit ribosomal RNA
Source: RNAcentral